CAGCCGCCGCGGUAAUACGUAGGUGGCGAGCGUUGUCCGGAAUUAUUGGGCGUAAAGGGAGCGCAGGCGGACAUAUAAGUCCAUCUUAAAAGUGCGGGGCUCAACCCCGUGAGGGGAUGGAAACUGUAUGCCUUGAGUGCAGGAGAGGAAAGCGGAAUUCCCAGUGUAGCGGUGAAAUGCGUAGAUAUUGGGAGGAACACCAGUGGCGAAGGCGGCUUUCUGGACUGCAACUGACGCUGAGGCUCGAAAGCCAGGGGAGCGAACGGGAUUAGAUACCCCAGUAGUCCCUGUCUCUUAUACA
RNAcentral lists this ribosomal RNA (301 nucleotides) under uncultured bacterium. RNAcentral describes it as "partial 16S ribosomal RNA". It matches the Rfam family "Bacterial small subunit ribosomal RNA", at positions 509 to 809 of the family's 1533-position model. The record is from RNAcentral.